Molecule: long non-coding RNA, 915 nt
Filed under: Mytilus galloprovincialis (Mediterranean mussel)
Lineage: Eukaryota; Metazoa; Mollusca; Bivalvia; Mytilida; Mytilidae
Source: RNAcentral
GCCCCGUAUCACAUACCCUGCAUCACAAACCUUUGGUCACAUGCCCCUAUAUCGCACCCGUCAUUUUAAUGCCCCUUAAAUUGUCAAGUUAAGGUGGUACCCAACACCUUCACUAAAACUAAUUUAGCUCGUUUAAUUUUCAUAAAAUUUUGAUAAGUAUUUACUUUGACCAUUUGACCAUUUGACAAAAAUAUAAAAAUUUCAAAAAAUUUGAACCAACCAAUUUAUCAGAAAUAUAACACUGGUUAUAUACCAGUUUGACAAACACAACUUUUAAUCAUUGAGAAGCUUAAUAUUCCACACUGUAAUUAAAGUGUUUAGCUGAUUUUACAGAGUUAUCUCCCUGUAGUGUAAGGUACCACCUUAAAUAUAUGAUAAAUUUAAAAACACAUUGUAAAAUUUUAAUUGAAUGCUCUAACAACCAUAGAACCUAAUCAGCCCUCAGCUUUCCAAACUCUAACUAAUAUUGAUCUCUUGGCUUGAUAAAGUAUAAUUUUGCCAUGUAUUUUUACUCUAUAUAUCAUUAUAUUACUACACAAUUUUAAUAUUCCUUUCCCUCAUACAGUUGUAUGUCAUCCCAAUAGAAGUACAUGUUAUAGUUGUCUAUUUGGCAGUACAUGUAAAUAAUAUACAUGAUUACAUUCUGUCUUCCGUUUACAUAAAAAAACACAAAAUUCUAUACCGUAACUUCACUUAGGUAAAGUUUUGUUUGUAAUCAACUCUAGCUUGUACCUUAAAUCUAAUAAUUACAGACUUUCAUGAAAAUAAUGCAUGACAAAAUACUAUAGAUGAAUAGAUGUAUUCACACUUUUUGGUAUUUUGCUGAAUUUUGUCUCUGAAUAACUUUCUAAUGUGAAGCAACAAUUACUUUUUAAUUGUUACUUUAUUUUCUUAAAUUGUGAUGUCAAAUUUUAU